AACGACUCUCGGCAACGGAUAUCUCGGCUCUCGCAUCGAUGAAGAACGUAGCGAAAUGCGAUACUUGGUGUGAAUUGCAGAAUCCCGUGAACCAUCGAGUCUUUGAACGCAAGUUGCGCCCCAAGCCUUCUGGCUGAGGGCACGUCUGCCUGGGUGUCAC
Molecule: ribosomal RNA, 160 nt
Filed under: Arabidopsis kamchatica
Lineage: Eukaryota; Viridiplantae; Streptophyta; Magnoliopsida; Brassicales; Brassicaceae
Also listed under: 3 other names
Description: 5.8S ribosomal RNA
Rfam family: 5.8S ribosomal RNA
About the family: 5.8S ribosomal RNA (5.8S rRNA) is a component of the large subunit of the eukaryotic ribosome.
Source: RNAcentral